This 1315-nucleotide long non-coding RNA is filed under the name Oryza sativa Indica Group (long-grained rice). Its description in RNAcentral is "lncRNA OsLaMu_03g0037130". Lineage: Eukaryota; Viridiplantae; Streptophyta; Magnoliopsida; Poales; Poaceae. The record is from RNAcentral.
ACGCCACUACAUCGCCAAGAUCGAUCCCCUCCCAUCCGCCAUGGUCGAUCCCCAUCCUCCCUCACAGAAAUCGUCGUGCCAUGUUCGAUCCUCGUCUCUCGUCGCAGAAAUCGCUCGCACAGCCGCAUCUUCCGCCGCCACGGCUUCUUUCGUCGCCUUUCUUAGCAGCGGCGCCCUUGGCUCCCUUUCUUCUCCAUGAGCACUGUGUGCAGGUCUGAGGUGGCGUCCAAGAAGAUCGGCAGCAGCGCCCUUGCUUUCCCCUCCUUUGGCAACGAUCUGCAUGCUCCGGUUUACCUUGCUUUUAUUCAGUUCAAGGUUAACACUGCCUCCAUUUUACCGUCUUAUAAGUUAUACACACCUGUUUUGGCUGGUGCACCUCUACUAGCUAGCGAUGAUGAGUUCGCUACAUAUUUCCGUUUGUCUUCAAGGCGAUCAAUGCCACAGUGUCUAUAUACCAGUCCAAUUGGUGCUUAUAUUGGCAAUAUUUCCAUUUGGUGCAUUGAUCUUCAGUUCAAGAUAAAUAAUGGUCUGCGUAUGUUCUAUUUUUCUUACCGUUGUCAUUGUCAAAUGUUUGUUGGGGAUGUUACUGAUACACGAGCUUUUGAUCUACACAAAUGCCAUGGUGGUUGUUACCUCUAACCAUAUUAUAUUACCAUUGCAUUUAUAUCUUAAGAUUUAAAUUGCAUUUCGACAUAAAGGGAUUAUGAUAUUUUAAAAUUUUUCUAAUUUACGUUUGGUAUACCAUGACAAUAAUAUAGCAGUUUAGGUUUUUAGUUAAUUGUAUUGGUUGAGAAUGAGUUGGAGUUGUUUUGUUGGAUUUCUAUCGUUACAAUUGUUGCUUUCAAUUGUGUACGAGAAAAUAUUUCAAACUUAACUUGACAGGCCAUAUAUAUUCUGCAGUAUAUUUUACACACCCAUUGGCUUGGAAACUAAGUCUAACUAGCAUAUUUUAUUUGAUUCAACCACUCUUUUGUUGAUUAAAUAAUGGUUAGUUUGUCCCAGAUUAUUUGAAUUUCUACAUAUAUAAUUGAUCGCCUUUUUUCAUGACUUUCUUUUAGUAGAGUUUAUGGUUUGAUGCAUGUGGUUUACUAUCUGCUACGUAUGUUAACUUAAAAAGGAAUCUGAGCUUGUAAUAGUUGUGUGCUACUAUUGUCAUUUUAACAUGGGUCUAUAUUGUAACUGGGAUCUACCUGAAGUUGAGUUGGUGGUUCUACUAUUUUGUAAUCACGAUGAAGUUGACUUGGUUCUGCCAUUAUGUAAUCUCAAGCGAUAUGCUGAUUUUUUUUCUUAUGUCUAUACAUAUUACGAGUUGGUG